ACAUGCCUACAACAUAGCGUUAAACCAUCGGAUCCCAUUAGAAAUCUGCAGUUAAGCGUGCUCGGGAUAGAGUAGUAUUUGGAUGGGUGAUCUCCCGUGAAAUCCUAGUUUUUUACAUGCC
Molecule: non-coding RNA, 121 nt
Organism: Picea glauca (white spruce)
Lineage: Eukaryota; Viridiplantae; Streptophyta; Pinopsida; Pinales; Pinaceae
Source: Rfam